GCUGUAAAGCCCGACUUCACGGAAGGGCCGUAUUUAUUAGAUAACAGACCAAUAUUCCUCGUGUCUUUUGUGGUGAAUCAUAGUAACUAAUCGGAUCGCAUGGGCUAGUCCCGCGACAAACCAUUCAAGUUUCUGCCCCAUCAGCUUUCGAUGGUAGUGUAUUGGACUACCAUGGCUUUUACGGGUAACGGAGGAUUAGGGUUCGAUUCCGGAGAGGGAGCCUGAGAAACGGCUACCACAUCUAAGGAAGGCAGCAGGCGCGUAAAUUACCCAAUCCUAAUUCAGGGAGGUAGUG
RNAcentral lists this ribosomal RNA (295 nucleotides) under uncultured Spirotrichea. RNAcentral's name for it is "partial small subunit ribosomal RNA". It matches the Rfam family "Eukaryotic small subunit ribosomal RNA", at positions 173 to 469 of the family's 1831-position model. The record is from RNAcentral. Lineage: Eukaryota; Ciliophora; Spirotrichea.